This 253-nucleotide ribosomal RNA is filed under the name uncultured bacterium. Its description in RNAcentral is "partial 16S ribosomal RNA". It matches the Rfam family "Bacterial small subunit ribosomal RNA", at positions 524 to 776 of the family's 1533-position model. The record is from RNAcentral.
UACGUAGGCAGCGAGCGUUGUUCGGAGUUACUGGGCGUAAAGGGCUCGUAGGCGGCCAACUAAGUCAGACGUGAAAUCCCUCGGCUUAACCGGGGAACUGCGUCUGAUACUGGAUGGCUUGAAUCCGGGAGAGGGAUGCGGAAUUCCAGGUGUAGCGGUGAAAUGCGUAGAUAUCUGGAGGAAUACCGGUGGCGAAGGCGGCAUCCUGGACCAUAACUGACGCUGAGGCGCGAAAGCUAGGGGAGCAAACGGG